This 443-nucleotide ribosomal RNA is filed under the name uncultured bacterium. Its description in RNAcentral is "partial 16S ribosomal RNA". It matches the Rfam family "Bacterial small subunit ribosomal RNA", at positions 338 to 795 of the family's 1533-position model. The record is from RNAcentral.
CCUACGGGUGGCAGCAGUGAGGAAUAUUGGUCAAUGGGCGCAAGCCUGACCCAGCAACGCCGCGUGAAGGAAGAAUGCUUUCGGGUUGUAAACUUCUUUUCUCAGAGACGAAGCACGUGACGGUACCUGAGGAAUAAGCCACGGCUAACUACGUGCCAGCAGCCGCGGUAAUACGUAGGGUGCAAGCGUUAUCCGGAUUUACUGGGUGUAAAGGGCGUGUAGGCGGGGACGCAAGUCAGAUGUGAAAACCACGGGCUCAACCUGUGGCCUGCAUUUGAAACUGUGUUUCUUGAGUACUGGAGAGGCAGACGGAAGUCCUAGUGUAGCGGUGAAAUGCUUAGAUAUUAGGAGGAACACCAGUGGCGAAGGCGGUCUGCUGGACAGCAACUGACGCUGAGGCGCGAAAGCGUGGGGAGCAAACAGGAUUAGAUACCCGGGUAGUC